CGAGUAGGAGCUAGCUUCCAGAUUUCACCUUCUUUCUUCUUAUGAUCUGAUUCUCAUUAUGAGUAAGGGCUUCAUCUCACUUCAUUCUUAUAUCACUGCAAGAUUUUCACUGUAGAUCUCAAGCUCCAAUGGUGCAAUGAAAUAUUUGCUGCCUGGAAAAGCCCUUCCAGAUUUGAACAAAAAAGUGAUCAGAGUACCAACUAGAAAUUAUUAGAAACCUCAGUAUAAAGGUGGAAGAAUUCAUCAGGCAAAUUGGAAAGACAGAAUGAGGUGGGAACACAGAAGACUAGAAACAAAGAAAAAUGAGAAUAAUAUAGGAAUAUAUGAUCUAAGCUUUACAAUGAAA
This is a long non-coding RNA of Aquila chrysaetos chrysaetos, 346 nucleotides long. RefSeq lists it as uncharacterized. Lineage: Eukaryota; Metazoa; Chordata; Aves; Accipitriformes; Accipitridae. The record is from RefSeq and is a predicted model, not a curated record. The transcript has 3 exons.